CACCUAUCUUUCUCGAUCGUGUACAUGCGUGAUGCAUUGGUGUGCUAGCCAUCAACCAGUCAGUCAGCAAAAGGACACACCGGAAAGGCUCAUAGAUUGAACCUGCUGUCGCGAUAAUAUCUCCUCAAGUGCAGAGAGACAUAGAUAUAGGAGAGAUGUGUAGAGAUGCACGUAGAAACAAACGGCAAAAACUUCAUAUUUCUUUCUUGAUCAUAAACUACAAGUCAUGCGAAUUUAUGAUACAGUAUAUAUAUUAUACAUUCAUCUGUAUAUUUAUCUGAAGCUGAACUGUGUUUCAAAUUCGUCGCUAUUCACGUAUACACGUGUACAAUAGAGAGAGAGAGAGAGAGAGAGAGAGAGAGAGAGAGAGAGAGAAAGAGAUUAGGGAGUAGGGGGAAUCAAAUGAAGGGGAGUCAGAAGGAGGGAGUGUAAAAAGCAGGACGAGAAUGAUCGGCUCGCAUGCAUGUGUGUGCAUGAGCGUACAAUUACGCGUACUACUAUGCAAAAGAGGUACGAGCGAAAAGGAUAAGUAAGCUAAACGAUAUAACUGUUGAGAGUAGAAUGGAGCGGAGGAAACGAGGAGGAGAGCAGCACGUAAUUGCGAGAUAAGAGAGAUGCGUUACACCUCGAUCAAAGUAUAGAAGAAGAGGAGGAGGAAGAAAAGAAAGUGUGGCAACGGAGAGAGUCGAUGAAUAGGAAUUGCAUUUUGAGAUGAACACAAGGCAGAAAGCGUACAUAAGCGGGAUUUUCGUAACCGUUUUAUUACUAAUCAUACUUCUUUUCUCAUUUUUUUUUUUUACACCUAAUGAUGAGUUGGCAGAAAUGACUUUUGAGGGAUAGAAGAAAGGCAAAGGAAAAUACGCUGCUGGUAGAAAUAAAUAAGAGAAGAACAAAUGACAAUUGUGAAAUUGUACUGUCAACGAUGGAUCAAACAAAUUUGAUUCGAAUUCGAUCUUGUCUGUUAGUCUCGAAUCGGCACAACGUAAAUAGAUUUCUCAAAAGUGUCUUCGAGUGCUCGCGCGAUCACGUUACGUUCGAAUUUCGUUCACACUCUGUUUCCCGACGUACAGAAGAGUCACUCGUUCUACUUUCACUCCAAUUCUUCUGCGCGAAACCCGAAUCGGCAUCGCGCGUUUGCAAAUCAUAGCACGCUGCAUCGAGCAAAAGUUGACGAUUCCUUUUCGGAUAAUCGCAUAACGCGGAUCGUGUGUCACUCACGCAAAAAUCUCGCUUGCGAUAUAUGUAUGUACAUCUUGUGAAAUGAUGUUCGUGGUUGCGGUUGGACGACAAAGAGGAGGACGAGCAGAUAAAUCUGCUGUGCAAUUCGAUCGUACGAAUUACAAAUGUUCGGUAUGACAUCGCAGAGUUACUUCCUGCAUACCGAUAGGAUGGCGUUGAGUAAUAGCAUUGCUCGUUGGUACCAUAAAUAAAUUCGCUAAUCGCCGGCACCAUCGGUAGUAGUUCUUCCGUCAGAUGAAGUACCGCGUUGAAUGCUCGCACUCGUGAAAUACUGUUACGUAAGCGCGAGAUAUGAGAAUCUCGUUACGUCUGCAAUUCGACGUAAUGCAGCCAAUUCGUACAUUCCAAUAAAAUCUUCCGAUACUUUACUACUUGCAGCUGUAGGUAAUUUUCGUCAAUGAAUCGUCGAUAACGAUCGAUUAAUUGUAAAGUUUCGCAUUACGAAAUGCGAGGAGAAGCGAAAACGGAAAACAGGCAGACAGGAUAUGUUACAUUGGCUAGGAUGAAACGGCGAUGUACAUACAUCCAAGCUGAAUCGCUCCCCUCCUUUCAGCGAAAGUGUAACAAAGUUGAUCAUCUUUUCCCAACGUAGACAAAAGCAACGCGAACGGUGACCAACAUUUUCAUCAAACAGUAAUUGAAUUCUUUUGAUAGGUGUAGCUUGUAACAAACGGCAUUACCUGAUUACUCGUUGUGUGCUGACACCUGCGGGAUCAUCGGCAAACCAGCUACUCCUUGAACUUCCAUUCCUGACGACACAUCGGACAGAGAUGCCUGGUUUGCUGCGAAUGCAACCACUUCAUGAUGCAGUGUAUGUGGAAGCAAUGCGAGCAUUGGCCCCAGACUAGAACAGUAUAGAACCAGUAUUUACAUCAUAAACAUUUCUUCCCCCGGGGCGAAGUAUCGCGAAACACGCGCACCUUCUAUUAUAUCGACAACAACCGGCGACCACACAGAGUUUGUCGAGUUUACAUUGACACGCGCGGAGUACGCGCGCGUCAGCAGAACGUGGGGUAUCGUGUGCGAGCGAUCCGUUUCAUUUCGGCACACCGAUCGAUAUUUAGCCUGGCAGCUGCGCAAACGCUUUCGCGCGUAUUUUACAAACCGUCUAUCGUAGCAAAUCAAUCGCCUCUAGAGUCACUUCUCGUCUAUCCAUUUCUUUAAUGUUUAACGUUAACGUUUUUGUUUUUCAUUAAAUAAAAAAAAUAAAUAACA
Molecule: long non-coding RNA, 2454 nt
Organism: Frieseomelitta varia
Lineage: Eukaryota; Metazoa; Arthropoda; Insecta; Hymenoptera; Apidae
Exons: 2
Source: RefSeq, a predicted model, not a curated record